CUCUAGGAAUCUUAGCCAUGUGGUUAAGCAGUAACAUCUGCUACCCAUUUUUAGAUCCUCUUAAUGGGACUUUUUCAGCGCUUAACAAUAGAAUAAGGUCAUUUCAUAUGUAGCCUCAGUCUUCCAAAGAUUGUUUAAGGGUAUUUUUGAACUAUUUAUUUGUUUAAAAAAAAAAGCUGUAGUUUUUCCUCAGAUUUAGAUAUGGGAUGAAUGGGGAAUGCUGUGAAUCAAAUUUGGGAUAAUUUUAUCUUCUUGUCAGGGAAUAGCUUCAUGUUUUAUCUUCUCACAAAAUCUAUAAUGAGAGAGCUGUUUAGUUCAAGUCUGGUAUAGGUCAUUAAUUACUACUAUCACAGGGAGGAUUUUUUCAUCCAAGUCCAACUUGUUGGAAAACUGUUUUUUUCACAGGUCACUGCCCUGACUCUGGCCUCCCUGGACUCAUACAUGCCUGGAUAUGGAGAGCCUGUGCUCCACGUGAUGUCUGCUACUGGGCUUGCAAUGUUUCCUCCAAGUAUGGUGUGCAGACAUCUGCAUCAGAAUCACUUGUGAGUGCCUGUUAUAAAGUAUUGGAUUGCAACCCAAUUCUACUGAAUUACAGUCUUACAGGUAAUGCCCAAGAGUCUGCGUUUUACACAUUCUCCAAGUAAAUCUUGUAAGCAUUUCUUUGGAAACAACUGAGGAAGAAGUAGAAUAAUGAUAUUACAACCCAGAGAUAAUAUCAGUUAUCUAAAUGUGGUAUCUACCUGUCCUUAGGAAACCAACUUGCUCUGAAAAUAAAUUAAAAGGGAGAGGGUUUUAUAUUUCUUUCUGUUGAUUUAGAAACCCUCUAACUUAAUGAAAUCCACUUCUUCAUAGUAGAUUUAACCAUAGCAGAUGAAUAGUGGUUCAUCUGGGUUUUAGGAUUUUUAUAUUCCCACUUAAAAUUGACUUCGAUUUGACUUUGCAGCAAAAAAUCUAUGAAAGCAUUUAAUGUCCAGCUAUAUCAUAAAAUCUGUUGUGUAACAGAAUAGCCAAUAGGAACAUCUGGGAACCAAACUUUAUUACCAGUCAAGCUUUAAGCUUGUUGCCAUUGGCAUCAAGGAACCAGUUUUAUGCUGCUCCAGGAGACUACAAGAAAAAUGUUAAGUAGAAGGGAUGCCUUAGUGGUGACAUAUACAUCUGUGCAUGUUUUAUAGCUCUCAGUACAAUUACUUGAUUACUUGUGGGGAGUUUCACCACCUUUGCUUAACAAUCAUUUUUCUUGUGUGGUCAUUUUCAUGUUAAUAUGCAGCUGGUUAAAUAUUUCUUUAAGUACCAGUAAAAAAUAAAUACUUAAUGCAGCCAGAUUAUAGCCUGGAUAAAUGCAGAGAGAGAGGGUGGGAGGGAGUGAGAAACAGAAUGAAUGAACUAGACCACUCACUUGACACUAGUCUUAGGAAUCUGGUCUCUGAUUCCAUUUUCAACAGGAUGGUAACUGAGGGAAACAAAAAGUGCACUGGACUGUAAGUUAAUUCUGCUCUCCUACUAUCUAUGUGAUUGUAUGAAUAUUUUACAUUUCAAACCUCUUCUUUCCUUUUCUAUAAUAUAAAGGAAUUAAACUAAAGGGGCCCCCAAAUGUAUUUAAUUUCUUAAUACUAGUUUGAAAUAUAGAAAAUGUUAUCCAAUUUAAUUUUAAAGUAAAAUAUAUCAUAAGUUAAUUAAUUUAGUUUAAAUUUAUUUGCUAAAAUAUGGAUAAGUGGUUCAGACUUUUAUGGAUGAGAACAUAUUAAAUAAAACAUGAAUCAUGUGAUAAUAUUUUAAUUUUUACUAUCUAUUGAUUUUUCCAAAAAUCAAAAUGUAUUAGAAAUUCAGAAACACACGAAUUUUUAUUUUAUUAAUCAUAGCAGUAUCUACACUAUCUUGAAAAAUAGCAACUAUGAACAUAAAAUAGAACUAAUUCAAUGUAAAAGCAAUUCUUAGUUUGUAUAAAGAUUCUUGGAUUCUUUGCAAUAACUUCAAAAACAACUCCAAAAUAUUUGGGAACUACCAAAAAUAAAGAAUGAAGAGAUAAACUUGAGCAUCCUCUAAGUGGAAGCUAGAUUUUAUUCAUCUACACAAGAUAUAAAAAAGUGAGAAACAGUUUAAACCUGACAGUCAAGGAACUCUUUUUGAGGAUGUGAUAUUUUAUCCUGAAACCUAAAAGAACAGAAAGAACUUGGUAUACAAAGCUGGGGGAAAGAACAUUCCAGAGAGACAGUAUGUCAUGUAAGUCUCUACAGGUAGACUACACUGUCUUUGUAGCUGCAGGAGUGAGAGGGGAUGACUUUAGAGAGAUAGACAAGAGCUGUAAGGCAAAGUCUUACAAUUUGUCACCAAGAGUAUGGAUUAAAACAAAGCACAAGGAGAAAAUUGUGAACGAUUUUAAACCAGCCAUAUAAUGCAGCUACAUUUUGAGAAAAAUCACCUUUGCUGCUGUAUAAGUAAUGGAUUGGGAUGGGGAAAGGCAGGGUAAAUAAAAAGACCAGUAAAGAGACUCCUGCAGUAUUCCAAGUAAAACAUGACGAUGGUCUGAACUAAAGGUGAAGACAACAGAGAUAAAAAAGAAAUGGAAGAAUGUGAUAACUUUUGGAUUUAACAAGGCUUGAUGAUGGUUUGAAUUCUUAAACAAAUUGGGCAACCAGAAAUUACUCUAUUUUUCUGGUUUGUUUUCCUGGGUGGGUGAUACCUCUUCUGAAAUGUGGAAGAUUGUGGAUGAGGAAACAAUUGGGGUGAGGGAAAACCCACUAAUUAUGAUUUUCAGGUUUAAGGCAUUCUAAAGAUCUGUAAGUUCCUAUUAAUUUGGGCAUGUCAGUCAUUUAGUGAAAACCUUAUUCCCACAGUUUGUCAGCGAAACCUUCAAUCUUAACUAUUCAUACUUGCCUGAUUCUUAUCCUUCCACUUGCAGCUUAUAUUUCCAGUGGGGACUUGUGUCAGCCCUGGCCCUUGAGGCAGUGUGCUGGAAUGAGGAGUGGCAAGAGCCUGCUUAUUAACUAGUCAUGACAAUAUCCACCCACGCUGUGACUUCAUUUCUGCUUCCUUGGAAGGGAUGGCCUUCUGAAAAGAAGUUCUACUCAUCCUUCCAAGCCUAUAGAACCAAGGAUAAGGAGAAGCUAGGAGCCUAAAAUAUAGAAAAGAAAUGAUAUAUUCACAAGACGCUGUCAGAAAAGCAUACUGAUCACAAAAUCAUGACAUUCGAGAGGGAAUUUUAUAGCAUGUGCCGAAUCCUGAGGUCAAAACCAUAGUGGAAUAACAUAGCUCCCUCUAAACCUCUUAGACACCAUCCUCUGUGUGAGUAGUCCUCACUGCUUUUUUUCUACAUUCAAUAGGGUUACAGUUUCAAUUGCAUAGCCUCUGUGUUACAUUUACGAUAACAAUACUUCAAAAAAAUCUGUUACAUCCUUUUGAAAUCAAAGUUCAGAGGAUUGCUUCUAAGCUAGGACAUAGAAAUGGAGUAUUUCUUUAGGACUUUUUAUCUUUAUUUUACUGAUUAUACUAUAAUUGUGGGGGCCAUCUCAAAUACAAUUUUAAACAUCAUCAAUGUAUUUGGUGAAAGAUAUCAAAGGUGGGUUGUAAGAAUUAUGUCUAUGAUUAUGCCACUGGAUGGCAAAAUACGGAUGUAUCUGUCAUUAGUUUUCUAGCCCAUAAAAUCACACUUUUUAAAAAAGGCUAACAGCGGUUAUUACCUAAUUUAUAAGUAAUCGUAUGGAGUGAUGUAA
RNAcentral lists this long non-coding RNA (3710 nucleotides) under Homo sapiens (human). Its description in RNAcentral is "HSALNT0146711". Lineage: Eukaryota; Metazoa; Chordata; Mammalia; Primates; Hominidae. The record is from RNAcentral.